GGGCCCGCACAAGCAGUGGAGUAUGUGGUUUAAUUCGACGCAACGCGAAGAACCUUACCAGGGCUUGACAUAUACAUGAAAGUCUAAGAGAUUAGACCCCUCUUCGGAGCGUGUAUACAGGUGGUGCAUGGUUGUCGUCAGCUCGUGUCGUGAGAUGUUGGGUUAAGUCCCGCAACGAGCGCAACCCCUGUUCUUAGUUACCAGCGAGUUAAGUCGGGAACUCUAAGAAGACUGCCGGUGAUAAAUCGGAGGAAGGUGGGGACGACGUCAAAUCAUCAUGCCCUUUAUGUCCUGGGCUACACACGUACUACAAUGGCUGUAACAAAGGGAAGCUAAGCCGCGAGGUGGAGCAAAACCCAAAAAAGCAGUCUCAGUUCGGAUUGAAGGCUGAAAUUCGCCUUCAUGAAGCCGGAAUUGCUAGUAAUGGCAGGUCAGCAUACUGCCGUGAAUACGUUCCCGGGCCUU
RNAcentral lists this ribosomal RNA (465 nucleotides) under uncultured bacterium. Its description in RNAcentral is "bacterial SSU rRNA". It matches the Rfam family "Bacterial small subunit ribosomal RNA", at positions 917 to 1382 of the family's 1533-position model. The record is from RNAcentral.